Molecule: ribosomal RNA, 425 nt
Filed under: uncultured bacterium
Lineage: Bacteria
Description: bacterial SSU rRNA
Rfam family: Bacterial small subunit ribosomal RNA
Source: RNAcentral
GGGCCCGCACAAGCGGUGGAGCAUGUGGUUUAAUUCGAUGCAACGCGAAAAACCUUACCUACCCUUGAAAUCUUCGGAAUCUCUUAGCAAUGAGAGAGUGCCUUCGGGAACCGAAUGACAGGUGUUGCAUGGCUGUCGUCAGCUCGUGUCGUGAGAUGUUGGGUUAAGUCCCGUAACGAGCGCAACCCCUAUCCUCUGUUACCAGCGAGUAAUGUCGGGAACUCUGAGGAAACUGCCGGUGAUAAACCGGAGGAAGGCGGGGACGAUGUCAAGUCAUCAUGGCCCUUACGGGUAGGGCUACACACGUGCUACAAUGGGGAAUACAGACGGACGCUAAGCCGCGAGGUGGUGCUAAUCCUAGAAAGUUUCUCGUAGUCCGGAUUGGAGUCUGCAACUCGACUCCAUGAAGUCGGAAUCGCUAGUAA